Molecule: long non-coding RNA, 253 nt
Filed under: Elaeis guineensis (African oil palm)
Lineage: Eukaryota; Viridiplantae; Streptophyta; Magnoliopsida; Arecales; Arecaceae
Description: long non-coding RNA (EGUI_LNC030958)
Source: RNAcentral
GAUCCUUUAGGAUCAAGUACGAUGUCAUGAUGAAGAGAUGGCUCGAUCAACAGUAUAUAAUUGAUUGGCCUCGAUAAGUAAUGAUAAUUGAUCUUCCUGGUGAACAAUUGAAGUUGAUUGCUUAUCCGGAGAUCUUAGGGCCAUUUCCUCUAAUCAUGAGCAUGUGGGCUUAAUUGCCACACGUAAUCCUCAUGGAUAACAUACGCAACCCUCGUCCAUAUUCAACACCUGUAAUAGGCACCCCACUAUCUCU